RNAcentral lists this ribosomal RNA (232 nucleotides) under uncultured bacterium. RNAcentral's name for it is "partial 16S ribosomal RNA". It matches the Rfam family "Bacterial small subunit ribosomal RNA", at positions 524 to 754 of the family's 1533-position model. The record is from RNAcentral.
UACGUAGGGUGCGAGCGUUAAUCGGAAUUACUGGGCGUAAAGCGUGCGCAGGCGGUUCCAUAAGACAGAUGUUGAAAUCCCCGGGCUUAACCUGGGAACUGCGUUUAGUGACUGUGGGACUCGAGUGUGGCUGAGGGGGGUGAAUUCCACGUGUAGCAGUGAAAUGCGUAGAGAUGUGGAGGAACACCGAUGGCGAAGGCAGCCCCCUGGGUCAACACUGACGCUCAUGCAC